RNAcentral lists this small nucleolar RNA (99 nucleotides) under Buceros rhinoceros silvestris. RNAcentral's name for it is "Small nucleolar RNA SNORA57". It matches the Rfam family "Small nucleolar RNA SNORA57". From Rfam's summary of the family: U99 belongs to the H/ACA class of snoRNAs which are thought to guide the sites of modification of uridines to pseudouridines, the target for this family is unknown. Lineage: Eukaryota; Metazoa; Chordata; Aves; Bucerotiformes; Bucerotidae. The record is from Rfam by way of RNAcentral.
ACUCCCGUUCUUGGCAGGCCCCGGCCGCCCUGUGCCGAGGUCUGUGAUGUCCGGAGGUAGAGCAGCGACUCUUUCAUGGGGGGCACCCCCUUGCCAUGG